UGACCAUAAGUACUAAAGAAACCCUAGUCAAUUAGUAGAUAUGCAUUGCCAGAGCAUACUACCUCAACCAACCUCUGAAUCUUCAUAUUCUCACUCCUUGAAAGAACUGCCACUUGUGAGCGUGGUGUUUGAAUACCAAGAUUCAUGGUCCCAAUCCUCUUAAAUGAUGUAGAAAUCAAGUUACCCCAUUAUUAACUUCUAACAUCUAGGGGACUUGUCUUCCA
RNAcentral lists this long non-coding RNA (224 nucleotides) under Lathyrus oleraceus (garden pea). Its description in RNAcentral is "Pisum sativum (pea) long non-coding RNA (PSAT_LNC006684)". Lineage: Eukaryota; Viridiplantae; Streptophyta; Magnoliopsida; Fabales; Fabaceae. The record is from RNAcentral.